GGAGGCGAUCAUACCAGCACCAACGAACCGGAUCCUAUCAGAACUCCAAAGUUAAGCGUGUUUGGGCGAGAGUAGUACUAGGAUGGGUGACCCCCUGGGAAGUCCUCGUGUUGCAUCCC
This 119-nucleotide ribosomal RNA is filed under the name Nicotiana attenuata. Lineage: Eukaryota; Viridiplantae; Streptophyta; Magnoliopsida; Solanales; Solanaceae. The record is from RNAcentral.